GGUAGCAGUACAGGAGAAAGGAGGAAGAAGAUGGAGGAGAAAUGAUGACAAGUGGGCCCUAUGUCAGCCUAAUAGCUUGGUUAAACGGUUUGAAUUUUAUGUGCCAUGUCAUCACUUACAACGGGUCCCACCGUCAGUGUUCGUGUGAAAACGUGGUCAAGUGUCGUUUUAGUGUUUUCAGCAAAUGAUUUCUUGAAACCAAGUG
RNAcentral lists this long non-coding RNA (205 nucleotides) under Hordeum vulgare. RNAcentral describes it as "long non-coding RNA (HVUL_LNC000255)". The record is from RNAcentral. Lineage: Eukaryota; Viridiplantae; Streptophyta; Magnoliopsida; Poales; Poaceae.